AAGGGUGUUGUUUAGCUAGUGAUAACUUGCUUUCCUUUGGCGUGGAUGUAGACUUGUACAGUGUUUUAAUAAAGUGUACCUAUUCGUGUCGGACUGUUUGCAUGUUUGAGUUUUAGGAAGUACAACGUAGCCUUUACUUAGCUGUGAACUAACUUGGCUGCGUGAACGGAGUGUCAAGAAACAUCGCGUAUUCUGUCAACAACACGGUCCACCGCCACUGCUGUCUAGUUGCUACGUUGCUACUACUACCAAGAGUCCAUAAACUCUUGCUACUACUACUAGUUAGAAUCGGUGGCAAAGCCAAGACCACUUGCUGCGCCACCGGUGAGUGGGGCGAGUUUGUGCCGGUGGCCAUGGCCAUACAGAUGCAGCGCGGAUACACAAAAAUAAUGUAUUCCAAUAUCCUUGUGCACGGUGGCGGAAGUUGACAUACGGAAUACGAGGGUUGUGACAACCAACCAGGCCAGCACAGCAGAGACUGCUCGCUAGCACCAGAUUCCAGAGUACAGACUCAGGCAUUGCAGCACUGACUGUACUAGUAGUGGUAGCUAGCUGUGGAGAGUAGUACUGUCUGUACUGGAAAUUACCAAGGCGGACACAGCCAUAAUCCAUUGUCCCUGACAGUGACUGUACUGCUGCGGAUUCGCUUUGGUCUUGGAUGGUCCAUGAGUCAUGACAAGAGCAUGCCAAGCAGCGCAAUCCCGUUAAAAUGAUGUCAUGGCGGUGAACAAGCAGUGCCGUGUAUGGACAUCAAGAACACAAGGUGAACAAGCUAGCUGCAUAGCGAGGGCCCUGCAAGCACUGAAGCAGUACCUCAAGCAGUACAAUAAUGCCAUGUAUAUCUGUCCCUCCAGGAAAUCGCGAUUCCACGGAUGCAACAAAUUUCGCGAUUUUGGCCCACGAUUUUCAGCAAAAUCCGCGAUUUCCCGCGUUUUUUGUUGUUUUCUGCAAUAUAUCUCACAUUUUUAUGCACAUUUCACGCAGUUCUUUCCAUGAUCCUGUAGGUUAUUUGCACAGUACGACUCCCGAGUAGAUAUACGAUGCAACAAAUUUCGUGAUUUGGCCCAAAUCCGCAAUUUUCUGCAAAUAGGGACAGGUACUUAGUACCGUAUUAUGUUUUAAAAAAUUGUCUUCGUCACUAUACAUGUACAUAGAAAACUACAUUGGAUUUACAGUAUUGUCAGUAAUCUAAUUACAUGUAUUUUAAAUUACCUUCCGCAGAUACAGAGCUCAAUACGGCGAUCAGCAACACAAGGCUUUCUUCAUCGUCUUUAGCAUCAGCUAGCAAGGCUUCAC
Long non-coding RNA from Sycon ciliatum, 1296 nucleotides. RefSeq lists it as uncharacterized. NCBI's taxonomy places the organism in Eukaryota, Metazoa, Porifera, Calcarea, Leucosolenida, Sycettidae. The record is from RefSeq and is a predicted model, not a curated record. The transcript has 3 exons.